Molecule: transfer RNA, 76 nt
Filed under: Pleodorina starrii
Lineage: Eukaryota; Viridiplantae; Chlorophyta; Chlorophyceae; Chlamydomonadales; Volvocaceae
Description: tRNA-Ile
Source: RNAcentral
GGCCUUCUAGCUCAGUUGGUUAGAGCGUGGUGCUAAUAACGCAAGGGUCAUCAUCGUUCGAUCCGGAUGGAGGCCA